This 968-nucleotide long non-coding RNA is filed under the name Triticum aestivum (bread wheat). Its description in RNAcentral is "long non-coding RNA (TAES_LNC019008)". The record is from RNAcentral. Lineage: Eukaryota; Viridiplantae; Streptophyta; Magnoliopsida; Poales; Poaceae.
UCAAACCCAGUGCCUGCACAAUUAUGCAACCAUUUCCCAAAAAGUGACUUGCAUAUUUGAACAGCAGUCAGAAGGCCACAUACCAAAACAAGCUCAAAUCAGGGCAGGAGCAGAAUUAACAGCCAAUGCUUACAUCAUAGUACAUCACAAGAAAAUAUAAGCAGUGAUAACCACAGAUACAAGGGUUAGGGUCAAAUGGAGCCGGAGUAACUCAAAACACAAUGGUUUUUCAUCAGACUCUCAAACGAGUCGCAAAAGAACAUAGGUGCCCAUGGCGAGCAUAGCUAUAAACCAUCAACCUCAUAACAGCUUCAUAAAAUUCUGAAGCCCCACAAACCACAUCAGAAGACAGGCAAAUGAACACACGGCACAGGCAUGAAAACCUGAGUAAUCCACAAUGCACUAUUAUCCUCUUCAAACUGAAGAACAUUCUUACUAAAUACUGCAGUACAUGUUUCACAACUGUAAUCGCUGCAAAAUAUCAAAUAGACUCUUAUUGCUCAGCAACAGAACAUAGGUGCCCAUGCGGGCAUAGCUAUAAACCAUCAACCUCAGAACAGCUUCAUAAAAUUCUGAAGCCCCACGAACCACAUCAGAAGACAGGCAAAUGAACACACGGGAACAGGCAUGAAAACAUGAGUAAUCCACAAUGCACUCUUAUCCUCGUCAAACUGAAGAACAUUCUUACUAAAUACUGCAGUACAUGUUUCACAACUGUAAUCGCUGCAAAAUAUCAAAUAGACUCUUAUUGCUCAGCAACACCCGAAAAAUGUAUAACAUCAUGCUGGCAUCCGACAUUGUAACAAAGCCAAAAUCAUCCAUUCCGAUCGUAUACAUGUGACUAACACAGCAUAGAUAUUAUGCAUUCUCUAAUGGAGCAGCUAAACUGGAGAACGACAAACGCAAAAAUAAUCCAUUCUUGGCGACUGAUUGAUUUGAUCAAUUGAUCUGAGAGAACAGGAAGAGAU